CCUACGGGAGGCUGCAGUAGGGAAUAUUGCUCAAUGGGGGAAACCCUGAAGCAGCAACGCCGCGUGGAGGAUGAAGGUUUUCGGAUUGUAAACUCCUUUUGUUAGAGAAGAUAAUGACGGUAUCUAACGAAUAAGCACCGGCUAACUCCGUGCCAGCAGCCGCGGUAAUACGGAGGGUGCAAGCGUUACUCGGAAUCACUGGGCGUAAAGAGCGCGGAGGCGGGAUAUCAAGUAAGAUGUGAAAUCCUAUGGCUUAACCAUAGAACUGCAUUUGAAACUGUUAUUCUAGAGUAUGGGAGAGGUAGGGGGAAUGCUUGGGGGAGGGGUAAAAUCCGUAGAGAUCAAGAGGAAUA
This 353-nucleotide ribosomal RNA is filed under the name uncultured bacterium. RNAcentral's name for it is "partial 16S ribosomal RNA". It matches the Rfam family "Bacterial small subunit ribosomal RNA", at positions 338 to 708 of the family's 1533-position model. The record is from RNAcentral.